GGCUUCCAUGAUGUCAUAAAGGACCCACUGUUCUCUCAGUGCAUCUGGGCUUGCUGAGCAUCACAGAGGAUGGGCCAAGCUUACCAGGGACAGCUGCUCUGCUGCCCAGGUUCGGCUGAGCUGUGCAGCUGGUCCCUGGCUCCGACCUCCACCCCCAGAUCCUGCAAAGCCUCACUGGAGGAUGCUUGCCUUUGAAGAGCCACAUGGAACUGAUUUCCUGGGGAAAUCUGGACAGAGACAGAUGUGCAUAGAGGGAAGAUGGUGUGAAGAUGCAGAAUGGCACUUGACCAGGAAGGCAGAGAAUGGGAGUGAUGUACUAGGAAGGCAAAGAAUGCCGAGGAUUGCAAGGCAACCACCGGCAGCCAGGAGGGAAACCCAGAACAGCCUCCCUCACAGCCCUCAGAAGGAACCAACCCUGCCCAUCACCUUGAUCUGACUUCAGGCUUCAUAACUGCGAGA
Molecule: long non-coding RNA, 459 nt
Organism: Heterocephalus glaber (naked mole-rat)
Lineage: Eukaryota; Metazoa; Chordata; Mammalia; Rodentia; Bathyergidae
Source: Ensembl